RNAcentral lists this ribosomal RNA (261 nucleotides) under uncultured bacterium. RNAcentral describes it as "partial 16S ribosomal RNA". It matches the Rfam family "Bacterial small subunit ribosomal RNA", at positions 99 to 354 of the family's 1533-position model. The record is from RNAcentral.
CGAACGGGUGAGUAACACGUGGGCAACCUGCCCAAAAGAGGGGGAUAACACUUGGAAACAGGUGCUAAUACCGCAUAACCAUAGUUACCGCAUGGUAACUAUGUAAAAGGUGGCUAUGCUACCGCUUUUGGAUGGGCCCGCGGCGCAUUAGCUAAUUGGUGGGGUAAAGGCUUACCAAGGCAAUGAUGCGUAGCCGAACUGAGAGGUUGAUCGGCCACAUUGGGACUGAGACACGGCCCAAACUCCUACGGGAGGCAGCAG